UACGGGGGGGCAAGCGUUGUUCGGAAUUACUGGGCGUAAAGGGCUCGUAGGCGGCCAACUAAGUCAGAUGUGAAAUCCCUAGGCUCAACCUAGGAACUGCGUCUGAUACUGGAUGGCUUGAAUCCGGGAGAGGGAUGCAGAAUUCCAGGUGUAGCGGUGAAAUGCGUAGAUAUCUGGAGGAACACCGGUGGCGAAGGCGGCGUUCUGGACUGUUUCUGACACUGAAUAACGAAAGCCAGGGGAGCAAACGGG
This 252-nucleotide ribosomal RNA is filed under the name uncultured bacterium. Its description in RNAcentral is "partial 16S ribosomal RNA". It matches the Rfam family "Bacterial small subunit ribosomal RNA", at positions 524 to 776 of the family's 1533-position model. The record is from RNAcentral.